ACGAACGCUGGCGGCGUGCUUAACACCUGCAAGUCGAACGGAAAGGCCCUGCUUGCCGGGUACUCGAGUGGCGAACGGGUGAGUAACACGUGGGUGAUCUGCCCUGCACUUCGGGAUAAGCCUGGGAAACUGGGUCUAAUACCGGAUAGGAGCCAUUUUUAGUGUGAUGGUUGGAAAGUUUUUUCGGUGUAGGAUGAGCUCGCGGCCUAUCAGCUUGUUGGUGGGGUAAUGGCCUACCAAGGCGGCGACGGGUAGCCGGCCUGAGAGGGUGGACGGCCACAUUGGGACUGAGAUACGGCCCAGACUCCUACGGGAGGCAGCAGUGGGGAAUAUUGCACAAGGGGCGCAAGCCUGAUGCAGCGACGCCGCGGGGGGGAUGACGGCCUUCGGGUUGUAAACUCCUUUCGCUAGGGACGAAGCUUUUUGUAACGGUACCUAGAUAAGAAGCACCGGCUAACUACGUG
This 464-nucleotide ribosomal RNA is filed under the name uncultured bacterium. RNAcentral describes it as "partial 16S ribosomal RNA". It matches the Rfam family "Bacterial small subunit ribosomal RNA", at positions 29 to 507 of the family's 1533-position model. The record is from RNAcentral.